RNAcentral lists this long non-coding RNA (506 nucleotides) under Homo sapiens (human). Its description in RNAcentral is "novel transcript". Lineage: Eukaryota; Metazoa; Chordata; Mammalia; Primates; Hominidae. The record is from RNAcentral.
AGUCAUGCGGUGGGAGACACAGAGGGCUGCUCCGGGACAAGGACCUGCUGCACAGGACCCUGACACUUUUGAAGAGUAUUGGCCAGAUAUUUUGGGGACUGCCAUUCCCUCUGGGUUUGCCUGGUGUGUCCUCAUGAUUAGGCUGUAGGAAAGGCUUUCCCCUUCUGACACACGCAACGACGUGGAUGAAACUUGAGGAUAUUACGUUAAGUGAAAUAAGACAGUCACAAAAUGCAGGCAGGAAGACAUUUUCAAAUUCCAGAAAUGCUGACGGACCUCCAGCGUUUCCAUGUUCCUCCCCACCUGAAGAAUGUUAAGAUAAGCUUAAUGUGAUUAUAACGAGACUUAUAUGCCCAACAAGCAUAGUUUGGGAAAGAGAUUUGCUUUGAAUACUGUGAAAUAAGCUUUAAUCUGUCAGGUUUAAAAAAAAAAGUUCCUGUGAAUUAAUAAUGCAAACAGCACUGUGCUUUCUGAGUGCGACUAUAAAAGAAUUUAAUGACCUCCUA